Molecule: long non-coding RNA, 1644 nt
Organism: Toxorhynchites rutilus septentrionalis
Lineage: Eukaryota; Metazoa; Arthropoda; Insecta; Diptera; Culicidae
Exons: 3
Source: RefSeq, a predicted model, not a curated record
CUCGUUGAGACAAUGCUCCUCAAGUUGUUGUUAUUAUUCAUUAUGUCAUUAGAAUUUCUUAGCAUAAAGCGGCAUAAAGUAUUUUUGACCAGUGAGGUGCAAACUGUUCAUACAAAUCUAGUUGAUUCAGAUGUAAUACAGGAGGCUGAAUUUCAUACAUUCUGUCAAAUAUAAGUGUUGCGGCAAAACGACAACCGAAGACCCCUCACCCAAUGUGAGCCAAAGUAUUUGAGCCAAAAAUGUUACCCCUCAUUGUAGUAGAUUGAUAUUUACUAAUUGGAAGAACCAUUUUGAAAACUAUAUCGAUUGAAAGCUGAGUUAUAAAUCGCUUAUAAAUUAAAUCCCUCAUAAAUAUAUUAGGCUGUCAAAAAAGUCCUGCGGUAUUUCCGCGAGGUGUCAUUGUAAGCGCGUAGUUCAAGUUGUAUUCAUUGUAUCGAGUCAUACUAUAGCUUGUUGGAAAGGUAUUUUUACGCCCUAUAAUAUAGUCCUUGACAGUGUUUUGUUUGGUUAAGUCGUUCGUGAGUUAUACUGUCGCAAAUAUGGAGCAAAAUAAAGAGAAUGUCCGACAUAUUAAUAUAAUAUAUUGUUGGCCACUAGUAAGGAGACUAAAUUCUUCAAGCUGACUCAAAAUCAAAAAAGGAGUUUGCUGAGAGAACUUUCCGAAAGGUGUCGCCAACAAUAAGUAUAUACCGGAAAUUUUCAAUCUUCCCGCUGAACAUUUUCCAAAUCUCUUAUUUUUAAGUUGGUACUACUGUCAGUGAUCUUAAUGCCAAUUUUAAACGCGGUCUGUCAUUUAGUUUGUUUACAGCGUCUUUAGGAACAAGUUAACUUUUUUUGUUUAGCGAUUUUUCUUAAAAAAAAAUCAUCGCAAUCAGGUUGCUGAAAACAUGCUUGAACGAUCAAGCUCUGAUCCCACGUUCAUUCAACGCAUCGAAUCCGAAAAAACAACGUCGAAGUCGUUCAAAAGAGAAGAUAAUGUUGACUGUUUUCUUCGAUAUUCGUGGUAUUACCCGACCGGAAUUCCUUCCGGAGAAUCAAACGGUCAAUAAAGAGUAUUACUUUGGGGCAAGUGAAAAUUCAUUAUAAUCGGCUAGAUUUGAAAAAACAACAGAAACUUCGUUAUGGUUCAAUUCUUGGUUUUAUUCAUUCAAAAAUAAUUUCCAAAAAAAUGUUAGAGUAUUUUUUUUGGCUAACGUGUCUGGUUUUUAUUCCUGAAACAUUUGGUCAGCCUAGCCUCAGGAAUAUGGAAGCUGGAGCGCAUGUUGUGUAUCGUGACCGGGAAAAAUUCGCAAAACUCCGCGGAAAACAUCUGCAACAGAAACAGUCGCUCAGAAAAGGUGUAAUGUCACAAUUAAUUCUGGGGUCAAUGCGCAAUGGUCCAGGAGAUGCAUUUACGUGAAAAAUUAGCAUUUAGAGCUCGACAGUUAUUCUCUAGACAAAAACUGUCUUAGACAAAGUUGUUACUCAUGAUAGAGCGCUCGUUUUUAUGUUGUCAAAAAUAGGGUGACCAAAAUUGUCGAUGAAAUAAAAAAUCUUUCUUAUCUUUAUAGAUAGAGAUAAACACAGUUCGACAAUGUUGUAGCUCCAAUUAUUUGAGAUAUCUUUGUAGAAUAAAGUUUUUCUCUAUCUCUUGAAAUAUCCGAU